AUGAUUUUCGCUUCUUCUCGCAUGUUUCGUCGAGGCUGGGAACUGGUGCUACUUCAAUAUCCAAAGAGGAUUUGUCGCAAGGCUAGGGUUGUCUCUUCGGAGACAUCCGAUAAAAUUGGAACGAUACAGAGAAGAUUAGCAUGGCCCCUGCGCAAGGAUGACACGCAUAAAUCGAGAAAUGGUCCAAAUUUUUUUCUUCAAAUAGAUUUGUCGCAAGGCUAGGGUUGUCUCUUCGGAGACAUCCGAUAAAAUUGGAACGAUACAGAGAAGAUUAGCAUGGCCCCUGCGCAAGGAUGACACGCAUAAAUCGAGAAAUGGUCCAAAUUUUUUUCUUCAAAUAGCAAUCUUAUUGGAUGAUUUGCAUGGCCAUGGGAAUGAGACAACUUUGAAGUGCACAGCCUGUGACCUGGAUAAGUAGAACACUAUUGAGGUAUGUUGAACAGAUUGUUUACUUGCAAAGAGUGUUUAUUAUAUUCACUUUAUUUGCUUCCAACAUUUUUCUUAUGGAUGAUUGUUGAAGCUGGUGAUCGUUUGUCGUUCAUUUGAAAUAGGAACUACAAACACAAGAUAUUAGAAGAUGAAUUUUCAUUAGGAGAUUGAAUAUUUGGUUUCAGGACUAUGGGGCAUGACUAUUAUGUUUACUU
This is a long non-coding RNA of Zingiber officinale, 644 nucleotides long. RefSeq lists it as uncharacterized. The transcript has 4 exons. Lineage: Eukaryota; Viridiplantae; Streptophyta; Magnoliopsida; Zingiberales; Zingiberaceae. The record is from RefSeq and is a predicted model, not a curated record.